ACCCUCCCAGUGUUUACCACAGGCUGUGUUCUUACACAGAUUCUGCAGAAAAUGGAGACGAAGUAAACAUCUCAGCCCAGGCCUUGUGCCUGGUCUAUAUUGUGAAUGGGGAGACAUGG
Molecule: small nucleolar RNA, 119 nt
Filed under: Castor canadensis (American beaver)
Lineage: Eukaryota; Metazoa; Chordata; Mammalia; Rodentia; Castoridae
Description: Small nucleolar RNA SNORA51 (ENSCCNG00000003738.1)
Rfam family: Small nucleolar RNA SNORA51
About the family: ACA51 is a member of the H/ACA class of snoRNA that guide the sites of modification of uridines to pseudouridines.
Source: Rfam by way of RNAcentral